This 895-nucleotide ribosomal RNA is filed under the name Alternaria tenuissima. Its description in RNAcentral is "SSU rRNA". It matches the Rfam family "Eukaryotic small subunit ribosomal RNA", at positions 232 to 1116 of the family's 1831-position model. The record is from RNAcentral. Lineage: Eukaryota; Fungi; Ascomycota; Dothideomycetes; Pleosporales; Pleosporaceae.
UUCGGGGCUUUUUGGUGAUUCAUGAUAACUUUACGGAUCGCAUAGCCUUGCGCUGGCGACGGUUCAUUCAAAUUUCUGCCCUAUCAACUUUCGAUGGUAAGGUAUUGGCUUACCAUGGUUUCAACGGGUAACGGGGAAUUAGGGUUCGAUUCCGGAGAGGGAGCCUGAGAAACGGCUACCACAUCCAAGGAAGGCAGCAGGCGCGCAAAUUACCCAAUCCCGACACGGGGAGGUAGUGACAAUAAAUACUGAUACAGGGCUCUUUUGGGUCUUGUAAUUGGAAUGAGUACAAUUUAAACCUCUUAACGAGGAACAAUUGGAGGGCAAGUCUGGUGCCAGCAGCCGCGGUAAUUCCAGCUCCAAUAGCGUAUAUUAAAGUUGUUGCAGUUAAAAAGCUCGUAGUUGAAACUUGGGCCUGGCUGGCGGGUCCGCCUCACCGCGUGCACUCGUCCGGCCGGGCCUUCCUUCUGAAGAACCUCAUGCCCUUCACUGGGCGUGCUGGGGAAUCAGGACUUUUACUUUGAAAAAAUUAGAGUGUUCAAAGCAGGCCUUUGCUCGAAUACGUUAGCAUGGAAUAAUAAAAUAGGGCGUGCGUUUCUAUUUUGUUGGUUUCUAGAGACGCCGCAAUGAUUAACAGGAACAGUCGGGGGCAUCAGUAUUCAGUUGUCAGAGGUGAAAUUCUUGGAUUUACUGAAGACUAACUACUGCGAAAGCAUUUGCCAAGGAUGUUUUCAUUAAUCAGUGAACGAAAGUUAGGGGAUCGAAGACGAUCAGAUACCGUCGUAGUCUUAACCGUAAACUAUGCCGACUAGGGAUCGGGCGAUGUUCUUUUUCUGACUCGCUCGGCACCUUACGAGAAAUCAAAGUUUUGGGUCUGGGGGAUAGCUACGCCCCC